Daphnia magna is the source of this 827-nucleotide long non-coding RNA. RefSeq lists it as uncharacterized. NCBI's taxonomy places the organism in Eukaryota, Metazoa, Arthropoda, Branchiopoda, Diplostraca, Daphniidae. The record is from RefSeq and is a predicted model, not a curated record. The transcript has 2 exons.
AAUGGCGGCAGAACCGAUCAUCAUCACGGGAGCAAGAAGACGUGCAACAACCGAUAGGUCACGACCGACGGGGAAAAUUCGUUUUCUAGAACGCAGACAGGAUGUGUCGAAAUUUGUAAGUGCGCUGUCGUCGCUGGAGCGUGAAACGCCAUCCUCUCUACGUGGUGUGUAAAUACACAUUUUUGACGGUUUCCCAGGUGAAAGAUGUCCUCGUCGAGCGAAACAAAACGUGGGUUCCUGUAACGUUAUACGGGCAGCUGCAUUAUCCACGACGAAGACAUGUUCUUUAAUAAAACGAUUCAUUUAAUUUCGUCUUGAGAUAUACCAGCAGGUAGGGCUGACUCAUUUCUAAUUUUCUUUACGGCAUCGCAUUGCAGUGGUCGAAACAUCUGUUGAAGGAAGCGAGAAACACCAUUUUAUAUUAGUUUAUUACGUAGUCAAAUGAAUGGCCAUCGUUCCAAAGAGGAAAAGAGAUUCUAUUCAAUUAAAGACACACAUUCAACGACCCCUUAUAUGUGGUACAGCAGUCAUUUGUGAAUUUUCUCUAACUGAACUCAAUUGACUGUGCAAUAAGUGACGCAAAUGACUUUUGACUAUUUCUAUCGUCGAUUUCAUGUUUUGGAAGGACACAUAAAAUACCUGUGAAAUCCGUUGGACGUCUUCGAUACCUCCUGCUGUGACCUAAAUCCGGGUCUCUUCACCAGUUACACGCAUCGACCAAGUGAGAAGAUAACGAGAUCACGGUGUUAUAUCUCUGCUGCUUCCACCGCAGACCCUAUUGAAUUCUCAAUGGAAUCUUAAAUCAAAAUAAAUUAUAAUAGAUGCUG